Molecule: ribosomal RNA, 408 nt
Filed under: uncultured bacterium
Lineage: Bacteria
Description: bacterial SSU rRNA
Rfam family: Bacterial small subunit ribosomal RNA
Source: RNAcentral
GUGGGGAAUAUUGCACAAUGGGGGAAACCCUGAUGCAGCGACGCCGCGUGACUGAAGAAGUACUUCGGUAUGUAAAGGUCUAUCAGCAGGGAAGAAGAAAGACGGUACCUGACUAAGAAGCCCCGGCUAACUACGUGCCAGCAGCCGCGGUAAUACGUAGGGGGCAAGCGUUAUCCGGAUUUACUGGGUGUAAAGGGAGCGUAGGCGGUAGCGCAAGUCAGAAGUGAAAGCCCGGGGCUCAACCCCGCGGACUGCUUUUGAAACUGCGUAACUGGAGUGCAGGAGAGGUAAGUGGAAUUCCUAGUGUAGCGGUGAAAUGCGUAGAUAUUAGGAGGAACACCAGUGGCGAAGGCGGCUUACUGGACUGUAACUGACGCUGAGGCUCGAAAGCGUGGGGAGCAAACAGGA